CCACCAGGGCCUGUGCUUCCUGGAGUCUGACCCCUGCCAGAGCAUUGGCCCUGGGAAG
Molecule: microRNA precursor, 58 nt
Filed under: Canis lupus familiaris (dog)
Lineage: Eukaryota; Metazoa; Chordata; Mammalia; Carnivora; Canidae
Description: Cfa-Novel-15_pre stem-loop
Source: RNAcentral